RNAcentral lists this ribosomal RNA (432 nucleotides) under uncultured bacterium. Its description in RNAcentral is "partial 16S ribosomal RNA". It matches the Rfam family "Bacterial small subunit ribosomal RNA", at positions 29 to 506 of the family's 1533-position model. The record is from RNAcentral.
AGCGAACGCUGGCAGCAGGCCUAACACAUGCAAGUCGAACGGAUCCUUCGGGAUUAGUGGCGGACGGGUGAGUAACACGUGGGAACGUGCCCUUUGGUUCGGAACAACUCAGGGAAACUUGAGCUAAUACCGGAUGUGCCCUUCGGGGGAAAGAUUUAUCGCCAUUGGAGCGGCCCGCGUCUGAUUAGCUAGUUGGUGAGGUAACGGCCCACCAAGGCGACGAUCAGUAGCUGGUCUGAGAGGAUGAUCAGCCACACUGGGACUGAGACACGGCCCAGACUCCUACGGGAGGCAGCAGUGGGGAAUCUUGCGCAAUGGGCGAAAGCCUGACGCAGCCAUGCCGCGUGAAUGAUGAAGGUCUUAGGAUUGUAAAAUUCUUUCAGCGGGGACGAUAAUGACGGUACCCGCAGAAGAAGCUCCGGCUACCUUCGU